RNAcentral lists this long non-coding RNA (2267 nucleotides) under Taeniopygia guttata (zebra finch). Its description in RNAcentral is "lncRNA (ENSTGUG00000019435.1)". The record is from RNAcentral. Lineage: Eukaryota; Metazoa; Chordata; Aves; Passeriformes; Estrildidae.
GCUGGCCGGGCUCUUUUGUUCAGGGCGGCGGACGGAGCGCGGCCAGGCCCGGGCCCCCCCCGACCCCCGAGCGCGCCCCCCGCGCCCCUUCCCUCGGACACCGGCGGCGGGGCUGUGCGAGCCCGGGAAAGCGGAGAAGCUGGCCAGCACAAUGGGAAAAAAGCAGAACAAGAAGAAGGUGGAAGAGGUGCUGGAGGAGGAGGAGGAGGAAUACGUGGUGGAAAAGGUCCUGGAUCGGCGCGUGGUGAAGGGAAAGGUGGAAUAUCUGCUCAAGUGGAAGGGAUUCUCCGACGAGGACAACACCUGGGAGCCCGAGGAGAACCUGGACUGCCCGGACCUGAUCGCGGAAUUCCUGCAAUCCCAGAAAACCGCCCACGAGAGCGAGAAAUCCGAGGGCAGCAAGCGCAAGGCCGAGUCCGACACGGAGGACAAAGGGGAGGAGAGCAAACCAAAGAAAAAGAAGGAAGAGUCGGAGAAACCGCGAGGCUUCGCCCGAGGCUUCGAGCCGGAGCGAAUCAUCGGCGCCACAGAUUCCAGCGGGGAGCUGAUGUUCCUGAUGAAGUGGAAGAACUCGGACGAGGCCGACCUGGUGCCCGCCAAGGAAGCCAACAUCAAGUGCCCGCAGGUGGUGAUCUCGUUCUACGAGGAGCGGUUGACAUGGCACUCCUACCCCUCAGAGGACGAUGACAAGAAGGAGGACAAGAACUAAGCCCUGGUUGUCCCCUCUCGGGCAGCUCUCGGGGUUUUUUUUGGGAAGACGAUCCGAACUUUUGUGGGGUGUGAGCAAAGGAGGGGUUUGGAGGUGCCCUUGGAAGAGCCCCCCAGGCCCGGUGUCUGCGCCCUGCAGCCACUCCUCUGCUCCCUGCCGUGUCCAGAUUCCCAGCAGAAUCCCGUGGAAUUCCCGAUUCCACGGGCGGGGGGGAGGGAGAGCCCGGGGGGAUAUGGCAAGCUUGGGAUCGGGUGGGAAUUGCGGGCUGGGGAGGGUCUCAGAGCAGUGGGAGUGGAAACCAAGCCCCUUCCAUGAAGGACUCGCCGGGAUGGCCGGGCUGGGGUUGGGAUUGGGAUUGGGAAUGCAGGCGGAUCCUGCUUCCCCCCACAGCCCAUCCCGCAGCCCCAGCCUUGUUCCCAAUAGUGUUAACUCUGCAUUUUUAAGGCGUAGCAUGUGUGUAGGUCUUCUGAUUCGGAUUCUUACCUUCCUUUUUCCUUUUUCUUCUUUUCUUUUUUUUUUCUUUUUUUUUUUUUUUUUUGGCUAUUUCCUGGUGUUAUCCUUUGGGAAGGAAGGGAGGGAUUUUGGGGCGAAUUCAAUCACUUUUAAUUAAGGAGGUCUGGUGAUGACAUUCCCAGAUCGUUUCCAUAUUUUUGGGUUUGUAGUUUUUUGUUUUUUGUUUUUUUUUUUUAAAGAACCUGAAUUUGGUCUUUUUUCUAAAAAAAAACAUGAAUUCAGCAAAGAAAAUCAAUUAAUUAAGAAAAAAUUAAGGGAGGAAGGGAGAAGAUCCCAGAAUUGCUGCCAGAACUGGGGGACAGAGACACUGAAACUGUGAAUGUCCAAAAUCUCCGGAGCUAAUCCUCGAGCGAUUUUUAGGGGGAAUUUUUGGGGGAAAGGGGUGGGGGGGGAAUUUUUGGGGUGGGAGGGGACGAAGGGGAGACUUUGUGAAAAUGCAACUUUGUGAUUCUGUAUCGUCCUGCAGCAGAACUGCCACUCCUGACACGUGCAUUGUAUGGGGGGGGGUGAUGGAUUUUAACCCUUUUAUUGCCUUUUUAACCCUUUUGUUUUUCCGUUCUAAGGUGCUAUUUCUCCAAAUUGGGUGGGGGAAAAAAAAUCCCAAAAAAAAAAAAAAAAUUUCCUGAAUUUCUGACCACUUGUUCUUUUUCCCACUCUGGAUUUUCCUGCCCAGCCAGCCAGGGAGGGAACGUGGGAGGGAGAGGAGCCAACAGCAGCACAAGGAAAAAUCCAAUCAAUCCCAAUUUCUCCCCGAGGCGAGGUUGGAGCUGCUUCCCCAGAACCUCGUGGGGGGCGGGGGUUUUGAUUUUUGAAAUCAGAUUUAUUUCCCAAAUCCUGAACUAUUUAAGUGACUCCAGGGGUGGGAUCUCGACGUGCAUUGUACAAACCUUUUUUAUGAGCAUGUGUUUGGGUUCCUGUGCAAAACUCCGUGUGCAAAUGUAAAAGUUCGUGUUUGGAUUUUAACUUCAUACCGAGCUCUGUCCAGUUUUUAUUUUGGAUUUUUUUUUUUGUUUUGUUUCGAUUUUUUUUUUUUGGUCUCAAUAAA